RNAcentral lists this ribosomal RNA (504 nucleotides) under uncultured bacterium. Its description in RNAcentral is "bacterial SSU rRNA". It matches the Rfam family "Bacterial small subunit ribosomal RNA", at positions 28 to 522 of the family's 1533-position model. The record is from RNAcentral.
GACGAACGCUGGCGGCGUGCUUAACACAUGCAAGUCGAGCGGAAAGGCCCUUCGGGGUACUCGAGUGGCGGACGGGUGAGUAACACGUGGGUAACCUGCCCAAAAGAAGGGGAUAACAUUUGGAAACAAGUGCUAAUACCGUAUAACCAUGAUGACCGCAUGGUCAUGAUGUAAAAGGUGGUUUUGCUAUCGCUUUUGGAUGGACCCGCGGCGUAUUAACUAGUUGGUAAGGUAACGGCUUACCAAGGUGAUGAUACGUAGCCGAACUGAGAGGUUGAUCGGCCACAAUGGGACUGAGACACGGCCCAUACUCCUACGGGAGGCAGCAGUAGGGAAUCUUCCACAAUGGGCGCAAGCCUGAUGGAGCAACGCCGCGUGAAUGAAGAAGGUCUUCGGAUCGUAAAGUUCUGUUAUUAGAGAAGAACACGUGUAAGAGUAACUGAUUAUGCGUUGACGGUAUCUAAUCAGCAAGUCACGGCUAACUACGUGCCAGCCGCCGCCGUA